ACACCUACCACCUGGGCAGCUGGUAAACAGGUAGAUUCUGGGUCUGCAGGUUUGGGGUGGGGCCUGAGUUUCUGUAUUUCUAACCAAUUCUCAGGUGAUGCCAAC
Molecule: microRNA precursor, 105 nt
Filed under: Marmota monax (woodchuck)
Lineage: Eukaryota; Metazoa; Chordata; Mammalia; Rodentia; Sciuridae
Source: RNAcentral